This 222-nucleotide long non-coding RNA is filed under the name Lathyrus oleraceus (garden pea). Its description in RNAcentral is "Pisum sativum (pea) long non-coding RNA (PSAT_LNC016746)". Lineage: Eukaryota; Viridiplantae; Streptophyta; Magnoliopsida; Fabales; Fabaceae. The record is from RNAcentral.
AAAAAACCAGAAAAAAACACCAGUCUUUCAAACAGCAGACCAACUUCCACCAAAUUUUUUCAGCAUUCCUCCCAAUCUUCAAUUCAGCCAGGGACCAUUAAUCAAAAGAAGAAGAAUCAUCUUCACCUUCACUUGUAUCUUCACCUGCACCUUCAGAGUCUUCUGAGCUUCCAGAACUUCCAUUGGAUUGGGAUUUUGAUCUUGUAGUUGAGUCCUUCCCAG